RNAcentral lists this ribosomal RNA (473 nucleotides) under uncultured bacterium. RNAcentral describes it as "bacterial SSU rRNA". It matches the Rfam family "Bacterial small subunit ribosomal RNA", at positions 328 to 793 of the family's 1533-position model. The record is from RNAcentral.
CUCUGUGACUCCUACGGGAGGCAGCAGUGGGGAAUAUUGCACAAUGGGGGAAGCCCUGAUGCAGCCAUGCCGCGUGUGUGAAGAAGGCCUUCGGGUUGUAAAGCACUUUCAGUAGGGAGGAAGGUAGUGUAGUUAACACCUGCACUAUUUGACGUUACCUACAGAAGAAGCACCGGCUAACUCCGUGCCAGCAGCCGCGGUAAUACGGAGGGUGCGAGCGUUAAUCGGAAUUACUGGGCGUAAAGCGCAUGCAGGCGGCCUGUUAAGUCAGAUGUGAAAGCCCCGGGGCUUAACCUCGGAAUUGCAUUUGAAACUGGCAGGCUAGAGUCUUGUAGAGGGGGUAGAAUUUCAGGUGUAGCGGUGAAAUGCGUAGAGAUCUGAAGGAAUACCAGUGGCGAAGGCGGCCCCCUGGACAAAGACUGACGCUCAGAUGCGAAAGCGUGGGGAGCAAACAGGAUUAGAUACCCUGGUAG